This 506-nucleotide ribosomal RNA is filed under the name uncultured bacterium. Its description in RNAcentral is "partial 16S ribosomal RNA". It matches the Rfam family "Bacterial small subunit ribosomal RNA", at positions 28 to 523 of the family's 1533-position model. The record is from RNAcentral.
GAUGAACGCUAGCUACAGGCUUAACACAUGCAAGUCGAGGGGUAACGAGAGGGAAGCUUGCUUUCCUUGUCGACGACCGGCGCACGGGUGAGUAACGCGUAUCCAACCUGCCCCCAACUAGGGAAUAACCUUGCGAAAGUAAGACUAAUACCCUAUAAUUUCCUCAGAUGUCAUCUGACGAGGAAUAAAGGUUUAUCGGUUGUGGAUGGGGAUGUGUGUGAUUAGCUUGUUGGCGGGGUAACGGCCCACCAAGGCAACGAUCAGUAGGGGUUCUGAGAGGAAGGUCCCCCACAUUGGAACUGAGACACGGUCCAAACUCCUACGGGAGGCAGCAGUGAGGAAUAUUGGUCAAUGGGCGGAAGCCUGAACCAGCCAAGUAGCGUGCAGGAUGACGGCCCUAUGGGUUGCAAACUGCUUUUAUACAGGAAUAAAGUUAGCCACGUGUGGUUAUUUGUAGGUACUGUAUGAAUAAGGACCAGCUAAUUCCGUGCCAGCCGCCGCGGUAA